CCCAGACUCCUACGGGAGGCAGCAGUGGGGAAUAUUGCACAAUGGGGGAAACCCUGAUGCAGCGACGCCGCGUGGGUGAAGGAGUAUUUCGGUAUGUAAAGCCCUAUCGGCAGGGAAGAAGCAAGACGGUACCUGACUAAGAAGCCCCGGCUAACUACGUGCCAGCAGCCGCGGUAAUACGUAGGGGGCGAGCGUUAUCCGGAUUCACUGGGUGUAAAGGGAGCGUAGACGGCCAAGCAAGCCAGGGGUGAAAGCCCGGGGCCCAACCCCGGGACUGCCCUUGGAACUGCUUGGCUGGAGUGCGGGAGGGGCAGGCGGAAUUCCUGGUGUAGCGGUGAAAUGCGUAGAUAUCAGGAGGAACACCGGCGGCGAAGGCGGCCUGCUGGACCGCUACUGACGUUGAGGCUCGAAAGCGUGGGGAGCGAACAGGAUUAGAUACCCUAGUAC
RNAcentral lists this ribosomal RNA (447 nucleotides) under uncultured bacterium. Its description in RNAcentral is "partial 16S ribosomal RNA". It matches the Rfam family "Bacterial small subunit ribosomal RNA", at positions 330 to 793 of the family's 1533-position model. The record is from RNAcentral.